This 496-nucleotide ribosomal RNA is filed under the name uncultured bacterium. Its description in RNAcentral is "partial 16S ribosomal RNA". It matches the Rfam family "Bacterial small subunit ribosomal RNA", at positions 28 to 506 of the family's 1533-position model. The record is from RNAcentral.
GAUGAACGCUGGCGGCGUGCCUAAUACAUGCAAGUCGAGCGAACAGAUGAGGAGCUUGCUCCUCUGACGUUAGCGGCGGACGGGUGAGUAACACGUGGAUAACCUACCUAUAAGACUGGGAUAACUUCGGGAAACCGGAGCUAAUACCGGAUAAUAUAUUGAACCGCAUGGUUCAAUAGUGAAAGACGGUUUUGCUGUCACUUAUAGAUGGAUCCGCGCCGCAUUAGCUAGUUGGUAAGGUAACGGCUUACCAAGGCAACGAUGCGUAGCCGACCUGAGAGGGUGAUCAGCCACACUGGAACUGAGACACGGUCCAGACUCCUACGGGAGGCAGCAGUAGGGAAUCUUCCGCAAUGGGCGAAAGCCUGACGGAGCAACGCCGCGUGAGUGAUGAAGGUCUUCGGAUCGUAAAACUCUGUUAUUAGGGAAGAACAAAUGUGUAAGUAACUAUGCACGUCUUGACGGUACCUAAUCAGAAAGCCACGGCUAACUACGU